RNAcentral lists this ribosomal RNA (247 nucleotides) under uncultured bacterium. RNAcentral describes it as "partial 16S ribosomal RNA". It matches the Rfam family "Bacterial small subunit ribosomal RNA", at positions 523 to 769 of the family's 1533-position model. The record is from RNAcentral.
AUACGUAGGUGGCGAGCGUUGUCCGGAUUUACUGGGUGUAAAGGGAGCGUAGGUGGCAUAGCAAGUCAGAUGUGAAAGCCCGGGGCUUAACCUCGGGACUGCAUUUGAAACUGCUAAGCUAGAGUACAGGAGAGGCAAGUGGAAUUCCUAGUGUAGCGGUGAAAUGCGUAGAUAUUAGGAGGAACACCAGUGGCGAAGGCGGCUUGCUGGACUGUUACUGACACUGAGGCUCGAAAGCGUGGGGAGC